Molecule: microRNA, 22 nt
Filed under: Drosophila virilis
Lineage: Eukaryota; Metazoa; Arthropoda; Insecta; Diptera; Drosophilidae
Description: dvi-miR-9710-5p
Source: miRBase by way of RNAcentral
UUUGCACACCGGGUCUUCGUAU